GCUCGCGCAGUCUGGCGCUCUCCUGGCCAUCCGCCACAACCAGUGACUUGAGCUCAGAUUCUGUGGUCUGGGAACAAAUUUAUGGUCUGUGCAUUUCAGGAAUAUCAUCAUAGUACGUAUCUUACAAGUUUCAAAGCAAAGAUCAAAGAUGGGUUUUUGUCGGACGAGAACUGGAGGCCACCAAGAACGUGUAUGCUUCAACAGGGACCACUACAGAGUCUGCAUAAGGAGGUCAUGGAAAUGUUUAUGUUAUUAUUUCUAUGUUUUUACAUCAGCAUAAGUACAUAAUGCAAUAAAUCGUAUUUAUAUCGAUA
Haliotis rubra (blacklip abalone) is the source of this 314-nucleotide long non-coding RNA. RefSeq lists it as uncharacterized. Lineage: Eukaryota; Metazoa; Mollusca; Gastropoda; Lepetellida; Haliotidae. The record is from RefSeq and is a predicted model, not a curated record. The transcript has 2 exons.